AUGAACGCUGGCGGCGUGCCUAAUACAUGCAAGUCGAGCGAACGGACGAGAAGCUUGCUUCUCUGAUGUUAGCGGCGGACGGGUGAGUAACACGUGGAUAACCUACCUAUAAGACUGGGAUAACUUCGGGAAACCGGAGCUAAUACCGGAUAAUAUUUUGAACCGCAUGGUUCAAAAGUGAAAGACGGUCUUGCUGUCACUUAUAGAUGGAUCCGCGCUGCAUUAGCUAGUUGGUAAGGUAACGGCUUACCAAGGCAACGAUGCAUAGCCGACCUGAGAGGGUGAUCGGCCACACUGGAACUGAGACACGGUCCAGACUCCUACGGGAGGCAGCAGUAGGGAAUCUUCCGCAAUGGGCGAAAGCCUGACGGAGCAACGCCGCGUGAGUGAUGAAGGUCUUCGGAUCGUAAAACUCUGUUAUUAGGGAGGAACAUAUGUGUAAGUAACUGUGCACAUCUUGACGGUACCUAAUCAGAAAGCCACGGCUAACUACGUG
Molecule: ribosomal RNA, 496 nt
Filed under: uncultured bacterium
Lineage: Bacteria
Description: partial 16S ribosomal RNA
Rfam family: Bacterial small subunit ribosomal RNA
Source: RNAcentral